CAGUCGCCGCGGGAAUACGUAGGUGGCAAGCGUUGUCCGGAAUUAUUGAGCGUAAAGGGCUCGCAGGCGGUUUCUUAAGUCUGAUGUGAAAGCCCCCGGCUCAACCGGGGAGGGUCAUUGGAAACUGGGAAACUUGAGUGCAGAAGAGGAGAGUGGAAUUCCACGUGUAGCGGUGAAAUGCGUAGAGAUGUGGAGGAACACCAGUGGCGAAGGCGACUCUCUGGUCUGUAACUGACGCUGAGGAGCGAAAGCGUGGGGAGCGAACAGGAUUAGAUACCCCCGUAGUCCCUGUCUCUUAUAC
RNAcentral lists this ribosomal RNA (301 nucleotides) under uncultured bacterium. RNAcentral's name for it is "partial 16S ribosomal RNA". It matches the Rfam family "Bacterial small subunit ribosomal RNA", at positions 509 to 807 of the family's 1533-position model. The record is from RNAcentral.